GACGAAGGAUGCAAGCGUUAUCCGGAUUCAUUGGGUUUAAAGGGAGCGUAGGCGGCCUUAUAAGUCAGUGGUGAAAUCUCUCGGCUUAACCGAGAAAUUGCCAUUGAUACUGUAGGGCUUGAGUACAGUUGCCGUUGGCGGAAUAUGACAUGUAGUGGUGAAAUACAUAGAGAUGUCAUAGAACACCGAUUGCGAAGGCAGCUAACGAAGCUGUAACUGACGCUGAGGCGCGAAAGCGUGGGGAGCAAACAGG
This 253-nucleotide ribosomal RNA is filed under the name uncultured bacterium. RNAcentral's name for it is "partial 16S ribosomal RNA". It matches the Rfam family "Bacterial small subunit ribosomal RNA", at positions 524 to 776 of the family's 1533-position model. The record is from RNAcentral.